AUGAAUCAAGUCACUUUUGAUCUUCAUGAGGAAAGUCAAUUCACCGUUGAUCGUUAUGAGGCAGGUCACGUCACAGCUGAUAUUUAUGAAUCAAGUCAAAUCACAGUUGGUCUUCCUGAGUUUUAUCACUUCUUAGCUGACAUUCCAGAGUCCCGUCACAUCACAGCUGAUUAUCCAAUGUCAAGUCACAGCAAAGCUAAUCGUCCAGUGUCAAGUCACAUCACAGCUGUUCGUUCAGAGUCCUGCCACUUCCUGUCUGUCACACCCAGAACCUCAAGAUCUGUUCUUCAACAUCCCAGACUGGCAUCCAGGAUGGUUGGUGUCAGCAUAUGCUCUGGUAUCCCUAAAUCGAUGCUAUCAAACCCUUUUUCCCCAGAUGUAAUCCCCUUGACUGCUGUAUUUCGCCUAUGUGGGAUUGCUCUCUGGUGUGUAUGGGCUGCAUUAACUACCACCGAAGUACCAGAGCCAGCGACAUCCGCUGAAGGAUUGCCAGAGGUGACGGCUGAAGCUGCAGAACCUCCAGAAAUGACGGUGGUCCUUCCGGAUUCUAUGGAGGUGGCGGCGUUUGCUGCAGAACUUUCUGAGACGUCGUCUUUCACUUCAGCUCUGGUUACUUUAGUAGCACCCAGCAGGGCUAUGGAGGCCACCUGUGAGUUCAUUGCCUGUCCUGUCAGGGCUAGGGAGGCCAUCUGUGAACUCUUGCUUUGCUCUGAACCGACCGAUAAGGCCAAAGCUCAGUCUGAUCAGUUGAGGAGGUCUUCUGCUCUGUCUGCUCCAGCUUGGUGGACUUCUGCUCCUCCGAGGUGGUCUUCUGCUCCGUCUGCUCCUCCGGGGUGGUCUUCUACUCAGUCUGCUCCGGCCUGGUGGACUUCUGCUCCUCCGAGGUGGUUUUCUGCUCAGUCUGCUCCUCCGGGAUGGCCUUCUACUCAGUCUGAUCCGGCCUGGUGGACUUCUGCUCCUCCGAGGUGGUUUUCUGCUCAGUCUGCUCUUCCGGGGUGGUCUUCUACUCAGUCUGCUCCGGCCUGGUGGACUUCUGCCCUCCGAGGUGGUUUUCUGCUCAGUCUGCUCUUCCGGGGUGGUCUUCUACUCAGUCUGCUCCGGCCUGGUGGACUUCUGCUCCUCCGGGGUGGUCUUUUGCUCAGUCUGAUCUGGCCUGGUGGACUUCUGCUCCUCCUGGGUGGUCUUUUGCUCAGUCUGAUCUGGCCUGGUGGACUUCUGCUCCUCCUGGGUGGUCUUCUGCUCAGUCUGCUCUGGCCUGGUGGUCUUCUGUCCUGUUCUGGUGGUCCUUUGCUCCAACAUGGGGAUCUUCAGAUCUGUCUACUUAGGAGUGGUGGUAUUCCGCUUCAUCUGCUUUGCCGGCUCCGCUCUGGCUUCCUAUUCUGCCUUGGUAUUCUGCUCUGCCAAGUCUGCUUCAGUCUCUAG
This 1422-nucleotide long non-coding RNA is filed under the name Carassius auratus (goldfish). Its description in RNAcentral is "lncRNA (ENSCARG00000040973.1)". Lineage: Eukaryota; Metazoa; Chordata; Actinopteri; Cypriniformes; Cyprinidae. The record is from RNAcentral.